Molecule: ribosomal RNA, 223 nt
Filed under: uncultured bacterium
Lineage: Bacteria
Description: partial 16S ribosomal RNA
Rfam family: Bacterial small subunit ribosomal RNA
Source: RNAcentral
CGUGGGUAACCUGCCCAUCAGAGGGGAGUAACAUUCGGAAACGGAUGCUAAAACCGCAUAGGUCUUCGAACCGCAUGGUUUGAGAGGAAAGAGGCGCAAGCUUCUGCUGAUGGAUGGACCCGCGGUGCAUUAGCUAGUUGGUGAGAUAACGGCUCACCAAGGCCGUGAUGCAUAGCCGACCUGAGAGGGUGAUCGGCCACAUUGGGACUGAGACACGGCCCAA